Molecule: ribosomal RNA, 447 nt
Filed under: uncultured bacterium
Lineage: Bacteria
Description: bacterial SSU rRNA
Rfam family: Bacterial small subunit ribosomal RNA
Source: RNAcentral
UGGGGAAUAUUGGACAAUGGGCGAAAGCCUGAUGCAGCAAUGCCGCGUGUGUGAAGAAGGCCUGCGGGUUGUAAAGCACUUUCGGUAGGAAAGAUUAUGACGGUACCUACAGAAGAAGCACCGGCUAACUCCGUGCCAGCAGCCGCGGUAAUACGGAGGGUGCAAGCGUUAAUCGGAAUUACUGGGCGUAAAGCGCGUGUAGGCGGUCUUGUAAGUCGGAUGUGAAAUCCCCGGGCUCAACCUGGGAACUGCAUUCGAUACUGCUCGACUAGAGUAUGGAAGAGGGAAGCGGAAUUCCGGGUGUAGCGGUGAAAUGCGUAGAGAUGUGGAGGAACACCGAUGGCGAAGGCAGCCCCCUGGGUUAACACUGACGCUCAUGCACGAAAGCGUGGGGAGCAAACAGGAUUAGAUACCCCCGUAGUCCCUGAGCGGGCUGGCAAGGCGCAU